UAGUCCACGCCGUAAACGAUGGUCACUAGUUGUUGGGGUCUUGUACCUCAGUGAUUAAGAGAAAUUGAUAAGUGACCCACCUGGGGAGUACGAUCGCAAGAUUGAAACUCAAAGGAAUUGACGGGGGCCCGCACAAGCGGUGGAGCAUGUGGUUUAAUUCGAAGCAACGCGCAGAACCUUACCUACCCUUAACAUUUCACGACGUAUACAGAGAUGUAUAUUUCUCUUCGGAGACGUGAGGAUAGGUGCUGCAUGGCUGUCGUCAGCUCGUGUCGUAAGAUGUCUGGUUAAGUCCAAUAACGAGCGCAACCCUUAUCCUUAGUUACCAGCAUUAAGUUGGGGACUCUAGGGAGACUGCCGGUGUUAAACCGGAGGAAGGCGGGGAUGACGUCAAGUCCUCAUGGCCCUUACGGGUAGGGCUACACACGUACUACAAUGGCAGAUACAAACCGUUUGCAAAGCCGCGAGGUUGAGCUAAUCGGUAAAACACUGUCCCAGUCCGGAUUGGAGUCUGCAACUCGACUCCA
RNAcentral lists this ribosomal RNA (527 nucleotides) under uncultured bacterium. Its description in RNAcentral is "bacterial SSU rRNA". It matches the Rfam family "Bacterial small subunit ribosomal RNA", at positions 791 to 1320 of the family's 1533-position model. The record is from RNAcentral.